GCUAGCGUUGCUCGGAAUCACUGGGCGUAAAGCGCACGUAGGCGGCUUUCUAAGUCAGGGGUGAAAUCCUGGAGCUCAACUCCAGAACUGCCUUUGAUACUGGAGAGCUUGAGUCCGGAAGAGGUGAGUGGAACUCCGAGUGUAGAGGUGAAAUUCGUAGAUAUUCGGAAGAACACCAGUGGCGAAGGCGGCUCACUGGUCCGGUACUGACGCUGAUGUGCGAAAGCGUGGGGAGCAAACAGG
This 243-nucleotide ribosomal RNA is filed under the name uncultured bacterium. Its description in RNAcentral is "partial 16S ribosomal RNA". It matches the Rfam family "Bacterial small subunit ribosomal RNA", at positions 534 to 776 of the family's 1533-position model. The record is from RNAcentral.